GACGAACGCUGGCGGCGUGCUUAACACAUGCAAGUCGAACGGAAAGGCCUGCUUUCCCUUGUGGAUUGCGGGUACUCGAGUGGCGAACGGGUGAGUAACGCGUGAGUGAUCUGCCCCCAACUUGGGUGUAAGCCUGGGAAACUGGGUCUAAUUCCCGAUAGGACUGCAGGGUGGUGCCUGUGGUGGAAAACGAUUUUCUAGUGGUUGGGGAUGAGCUCGCGGCCUAUCAGCUUGUUGGUGGGGUAAUGGCCUACCAAGGCGGCGACGGGUAGCCGGCCUGAGAGGGUGGACGGCCACAUUGGGACUGAGAUACGGCCCAGACUCCUACGGGAGGCAGCAGUGGGGAAUAUUACACAAUGGGCGGAAGCCUGAUGCAGCGACGCCGCGUGGGGGAUGACGGCCUUCGGGUUGUAAACUCCUUUCGACCGCGAGGAAGCCACCUGGUUGGAAGGGUGGUGACGGUAGUGGUAGAAGAAGCACCGGCUAACUACGUG
RNAcentral lists this ribosomal RNA (494 nucleotides) under uncultured bacterium. Its description in RNAcentral is "partial 16S ribosomal RNA". It matches the Rfam family "Bacterial small subunit ribosomal RNA", at positions 28 to 507 of the family's 1533-position model. The record is from RNAcentral.